Molecule: ribosomal RNA, 464 nt
Filed under: uncultured bacterium
Lineage: Bacteria
Description: partial 16S ribosomal RNA
Rfam family: Bacterial small subunit ribosomal RNA
Source: RNAcentral
GACGAACGCUGGCGGCGUGCUUAACACAUGCAAGUCGAACGGAAAGGCCCCUUUGGGGGUACUCGAGUGGCGAACGGGUGCGUAACACGUGAGUAACCUGCCCUUGACUUCGGGAUAACUUCAGGAAACUGGGGCUAAUACCGGAUAGGAAUCCUUGCUGCAUGGUGGGGUUGGAAAGCUUCGGCGGUUUUGGAUGGACUCGCGGCUUAUCAGCUUGUUGGUGGGGUAGUGGCUUACCAAGGCUUUGACGGGUAGCCGGCCUGAGAGGGCGACCGGCCACAUUGGGACUGAGAUACGGCCCAGACUCCUACGGGAGGCAGCAGUGGGGAAUAUUGCACAAUGGGCGGAAGCCUGAUGCAGCAACGCCGCGUGCGGGAUGACGGCCUUCGGGUUGUAAACCGCUUUCAGCAGGGGCGAAGCUUGUGGUGACGGUACCUGCAGAAGAAGCACCGGCUAACUACGUG